UACAGAGGGUGCAAGCGUUGUUCGGAAUUAUUGGGCGUAAAGGGAGUGUAGGCGGCUAAGAAAGUUUUCUGUGAAAUCUGAGGGCUCAGCCUUCAACGUGCAGAGAAUACUCCUUGGCUUGAGUGUCGGAGAGGAUAGUGGAAUUCCCGGUGUAGAGGUGAAAUUCGUAGAGAUCGGGAGGAACACCAGUGGCGAAGGCGACUGUCUGGCUGACAACUGACGCUGAGACUCGAAAGCAUGGGGAGCAAACAGG
Molecule: ribosomal RNA, 253 nt
Filed under: uncultured bacterium
Lineage: Bacteria
Description: partial 16S ribosomal RNA
Rfam family: Bacterial small subunit ribosomal RNA
Source: RNAcentral